UACGUAGGUGGCAAGCGUUGUCCGGAUUUAUUGGGUUUAAAGGGUGCGUAGGCGGUGACCUAAGUCAGUUGUGAAAUACUUCAGCUUAACUGGAGAGGUGCAAUUGAUACUGGGUUACUUGAGUACUGAUGAGGUAUGCGGAAUGGACGGUGUAGCGGUGAAAUGCUUAGAUAUCGUCCAGAACACCGAUAGCGAAGGCAGCAUACUAAGGAGUAACUGACGCUGAGGCACGAAAGCGUGGGGAGCAAAC
RNAcentral lists this ribosomal RNA (250 nucleotides) under uncultured bacterium. Its description in RNAcentral is "partial 16S ribosomal RNA". It matches the Rfam family "Bacterial small subunit ribosomal RNA", at positions 524 to 773 of the family's 1533-position model. The record is from RNAcentral.